GGAAGUGUGCCUGAGACUUCAAGGACUACUUUGAUAGAGUACGCCACAGAGGAUAAAUCCCUCUUGCUUCCC
This 72-nucleotide transfer RNA is filed under the name Haemodracon trachyrhinus. RNAcentral's name for it is "tRNA-Ile". The record is from RNAcentral. Lineage: Eukaryota; Metazoa; Chordata; Lepidosauria; Squamata; Phyllodactylidae.